UCAACGAGUCGGGUUGUUUGGGAAUGCAGCCCAAAUCGGUCGGUAGACUCCGUCCAAGGCUAAAUACAGGUGAGAGACCGAUAGCGAACAAGUACCGCGAGGGAAAGAUGAAAAGGACUUUGAAAAGAGAGUCAAAGAGUGCUUGAAAUUGCCGGGAGGGAAGCGGAUGGGGGCCGGCGAUGCGCCCCGGCCGUAUGCGGAACGGCUCUUGCUGGUCCGCCGCUCGGGUCCCUCGGGGCACUGCGCUGCAACGGCCUGCGGGCUCCCCAU
RNAcentral lists this ribosomal RNA (270 nucleotides) under Triticum aestivum (bread wheat). RNAcentral's name for it is "partial small subunit ribosomal RNA". It matches the Rfam family "Eukaryotic large subunit ribosomal RNA", at positions 257 to 523 of the family's 3401-position model. Lineage: Eukaryota; Viridiplantae; Streptophyta; Magnoliopsida; Poales; Poaceae. The record is from RNAcentral.